This 334-nucleotide unclassified non-coding RNA is filed under the name soil metagenome. RNAcentral's name for it is "partial contains 5.8S ribosomal RNA, internal transcribed spacer 2, and large subunit ribosomal RNA". The stretch from base 1 to 120 matches the Rfam family "5.8S ribosomal RNA", at positions 35 to 154 of the family's 154-position model. The record is from RNAcentral.
GAUGAAGAACGUAGCGAAAUGCGAUAAGUAGUGUGAAUUGCAGAAUUCAGUGAAUCAUCGAAUCUUUGAACGCACAUUGCGCCCCUUGGUAUUCCAUGGGGCAUGCCUGUUCGAGCGUCAUUUGUACCUUCAAGCUCUGCUUGGUGUUGGGUGAUUGUCUAUCUUUGUAGACUCGCCUUAAAGUCAUUGGCAGCCGGCAUAUUGGCCUGGGAGCGCAGCACAAGUCGCGCUUCUUGUCAUGAAUGUUGGCGUCCAGUGAGUCUACAUAUUUUGCUCUUGACCUCGGAUCAGGUAGGGAUACCCGCUGAACUUAAGCAUAUCAAUAAGCGGAGGA